CAUUCGCUCUCCAAAUCCCUCUUCUCUCCACCCCUCCUUUUUCCAGGGCCGGCUUCAAGGCAGGCAGCAACCCCAAUUGGCGGCCAAGAAAGGAAGCCAAGCAGGCCGCCCAAAUAGCUCAUGGCUGCCCCUCGUGAGCCGGCCAAGCCCAGCCCAGCUCAGAGCUCGUUCGGCUGCAAACCGCAGCCGCGGCAAGAAGCGGGGAAUGGAGCCGGCCUAGCCGCGUGCGAAAGCCGGCACUCCCUCUUCUCUCCCUCAUGCAGCCGUUUACAUAAACAAGGCGGGAGAGAAGCCAGCAGAACAACACCUUGGCCUAGGCAGGGGGCGGGCGCAGGGAAAUAAAGGCUAGGACAGCACGGGGGCAGCCGCGAGAAUCUACUCUAGACUGACCUAGAGGACAGGCUGGGCAGGCAGCCGGCGAGCGGGAGGCGGCGCUAGGAAGGCUCCCUCUUUCGCACGCACGCUUUAAAUAAACCCAUCCCUCGGCUCCUUCCUUGUUGUAGCAAAACAGGCUGUUUCUCGUGAACGAAUGCUGUGUGCCUCAGUUUCCUGAUAUGCUAGUUCUCUAUAUGCAGGGAUCUUUGUUUGCAUAGAGGAGCAAUUGUAUUAGCCACCGGCUUCAGUCAGAGCCCUACUCCCGUAGGAUUAGCCCUGUAGCGAAAAGGGCAUGAGAAUCUAGCUAGAUUACGUAUGUCACAUGACUAGGCCUUGUAUAAUUUUUUAAAAAACAAACAGCCGAAACGAGGGAAGGGCAAGCUAGAUCAGGACAGCGGGGAGAGGGGGAUUUGCAACUAUUUUUUUUCCCCGGCAGCAGAUCAGAAAUGGGACCCUUGGUCCUUUUGCCUGCUAUUCAUAAUGGGAGGAAAGGUGAACGAAUUUGAAUAGAAAUGGGAGCCUUUAAGACAGUUUGGAAUGAUAAAGUAUAAUAAGAGGAACUAAAGAUCAGAGACUCAUUAAGAAUUCACCAAAUAGUUAACUUACAGUACAAUGGUAUACAUGUCUACUCAGAAGACUCAAGAAGACAACUAUGCAUGCCAUACACAGUUGAAAUUGACAAGUUGUUACAGAAUCACCACACACAGGAAAACCACACAGGAAAUAACAAGAUUAAUAAAACCACUUCAGUGUUCAUUCAUACAAGCAAGAACAAAAAUAACCCUCUGGGGCUGAGAUAUGCUAGACAGUUCCCACAUGCCAGUUUUGGCAUUCCAGUGGAACUCUAUGCUUGGAAUGCAAAAGGCAGCCUAUUCUCCUGAAGGGUAACUCCUUUGACCUGGACAAGCCUUUGAAAUCUAAAUAUGUUUUUCUGUUUUUCCCCUUUUUCUAGAGAUAGGAAGCUUCAGGGACAGCCUUUUGCAGCAUAUAUUUUAUGUGAGAUGAGGGUACUUAAAGUUUUUUUUCUCCAAUAUAUCUGCUCAUCUAUAAAUAUACAUGUUGAGCAGAGUGGAGUGGGCAGACUCCUAGACAGUGCAAGUCUUCAAAGCAGCAUCAGUUUCCCCAAAGCAACACAACAGCGCCUUGGAGCCUGCUAAGGCUCCUCCUUGCCUGCCAACUGCAAAAAUUUAGACCCCUCUCAUUGGCUACAAACUACAAAGCUGUUACCUUCAGCCUUCAUCCAAGUAGAUGUUCAGUAGCUAAUAGCAACCAGACAUGAAAGGGCAUCACUGCUAAUUAAAGCAAAGAUCUUCAGCUAAUGAACAAAAGGUGUAAAAGCUAGAUCUGCUUUCUUCAAUGCCAUUCAUUGUUAUAUCUUAAUUCAUUGGCUGAAAAUCUCAAAGACUGCAACAGAAAGCUUGGGAAUCCAGAGAAUAUGGCUCAUCUGGAGUAAACCCCCUGCAAACACCCACACAUCCAGAAGACUUCAGUUACCAGUGUUUCUUUGGAGUGGAAGCCAUUACAGUUAAUCUGGUAUUGCACCUAUACUUCAGCAUGGUUCAUGGGCCUCCAUGCCUUGGGAGAAAGAUAAGACAAAUGUGAUAGAGGAAUCUCUGAAUAUUUAACAGUAAAAAGUCAUCAGAACAGGCGGACUGAGACAAUUCCUCCACUACUAAAUACAACAAAACUUUACAUUUCUGAUUUAUUCUCUCCCAGACUCUAAGCAACCCAAGAAAAUGGACAAGAUUAAUGAAAGUGUGAGGUCAACCAUCUGUAUAGACCCUUGCCCUUCCUGACUUACUAAGCAGUCAGACUAUCACGUAGUUGGAGACAUUCUGGCUGAGUGCUAGGGAUGUGGGAGAAAUUCAACUCAGUUUGCAGUUAAAGCCAAAUCUAUCAAAUUAGCACUUUCCAAAAGAAUAUUAGAACUGCCAAAUAGCCUUCCUUUGAAAUUCACACCUAUCUGUUUAUUUUAUUUAUUUAUUGGAUUUCUUCGUCGCCCAUCUGGCUGGCUAUCCAGCCACUCUGGGCGACGUACAAAAUAGGCAUACAAAUAUAAUAAACAUUAAAAUCUGAAAACAAUGACGAUAAAAUCUAGCCCACCCCAAAAGCCUGCCUGAAGAGCCAGGUCUUCACGGCCCGGCGGAAACUCAUCAUAGAGGGGGCAUGGCGGAGAUCAUUUGGGAGAGAGUUCCACAGGGUGGGGGCCACAAUUGAAAAAGCCCUCUCUCUAGUCCUCACCAGUCUGGCUGUUUUGACUGAUGGGAUAGAGAGAAGGUCUUUUGAGGCUGAUCUUGUUGGGCGGCAUAGCUGAUGAUGCUGGAGGCGCUCCUUCAGAUAGACUGGGCUGAGACCAUAUAGGGAUUUAAAGGUCAAAACCAACACUUGAAUUGGGCCCGGCAAGCAACUGGUAAUCAGUGCAACUCUUUUAGCACAGGAGUUAUGUGAUCUCGCCGGCGGCUGCCUUUAAUCAGGCGCACCACUGUAUUCUGUACCAGUUGCAGCUUCCAGACCAUUUUCAAGGGUAGCCCCAUGUAGAGCGCAUUACAGUAGUCUAGGCGAGAGGAGGCCAGGGCAUGUACCACUUAUGGGACCAGAUGAUUGGGAAGGUAGGGGCGCAGCCUCCUUAACAGAUGGAGUUGAUACAGUGCUGCCUGGCUCACAGCUGAGACCUGAGCUUCCAUGGACAGUUGGGAGUCAAGAAUUAUCCCGAGGCUGCGGACCUGGUCUUUCAGGGGCAAUUGCACCCCAUUGAGCACCAGGUCCAAAUCCCCUAACAUUAUUAUUAUUGUCUUUAUUUAUACCCCGCCAUUUUUCCAAAACUGGAACUCAUGGCGGCUUCCAGAUAAAAAAUACAUAUAAUUAAAAACAUACAAAGUCUACAUUAAAAUAAGAUUAAACUUAAACCUUCCCUUGUCUCCCACAAACAGUACCUCGGUUUUGUCAGGGUUCAGUUUCAGCUUAUUCCUUCCCAUCCAGCUGCUCACCAACUCCAGGCCCUUGGACAGGGUUUCUACAGCCAACCUCGGGGAAGAUUUAAAUGAGAGAUAGAGCUGCGUGUCAUCCGCAUAUUGGUGACACUGCAGCCCAAAUCUAAUGAUAGUCCCCAGUGACUUUAUAUAGAUGUUAAAUAGCACUGGGGAGAGGAUGGAGCCUUGCAGCACCCCACAGGUGAGAGGCCAAUGAUCUGAAACCUCAUCCCCCAAUGCUACUAUUUGGUGCCUAUCGGAGAUGAAGGAGCAGAGCCACUGCAGUACACUGCCCCCUAUGUCUAAUC
Long non-coding RNA from Rhineura floridana, 3652 nucleotides. RefSeq lists it as uncharacterized. The record is from RefSeq and is a predicted model, not a curated record. The transcript has 5 exons. NCBI's taxonomy places the organism in Eukaryota, Metazoa, Chordata, Lepidosauria, Squamata, Rhineuridae.